GACGAACGCUGGCGGCGUGCUUAACACAUGCAAGUCGAACGAAGUGGCGAACGGGUGAGUAACGCGUAAUCAACCUGCCCUUCAGAGGGGGACAACAGUUUGCAACGACUGCUAAUACCGCAUACUGAAGGAGGGGAUUGCGUCUGCUUAGCUAGUUGGCGGGGUAACGGCCCACCAAGGCGAUGAUUAGUAGCCGGACUGAGAGGAGGAACGGGCACACAGGGAAUGAUAAACGGCCCAGACUCCUACGGGAGGCAGCAGUGGGGAAUCUGCCGCAAUGGACGAAAGUCUGAAGGAGCAACGCCGCGGGAGUGAUGACGGCCUUCGGGUUGUAAAGCGCUGUUAAUCGGGACGCGGUACCGGAAUAGAAAGCCACGGCUAACUACGUGCCAGCAGCCGCGGUAAUUC
RNAcentral lists this ribosomal RNA (408 nucleotides) under uncultured bacterium. Its description in RNAcentral is "partial 16S ribosomal RNA". It matches the Rfam family "Bacterial small subunit ribosomal RNA", at positions 28 to 526 of the family's 1533-position model. The record is from RNAcentral.